This is a small nucleolar RNA of Daktulosphaira vitifoliae (grape phylloxera), 80 nucleotides long. The record is from RefSeq and is a predicted model, not a curated record. Lineage: Eukaryota; Metazoa; Arthropoda; Insecta; Hemiptera; Phylloxeridae.
UUGCUAUGAUGAAAAAUAAUAUUUCUUAUUGAUAACUAAAAUGAAAAUUGUUUUAUACGAGCUUUUUAACCCUGAGCAAU